RNAcentral lists this ribosomal RNA (1484 nucleotides) under uncultured bacterium. RNAcentral's name for it is "partial 16S ribosomal RNA". It matches the Rfam family "Bacterial small subunit ribosomal RNA". The record is from RNAcentral.
AGAGUUUGAUCCUGGCUCAGGACGAACGCUGGCGGCGUGCCUAACACAUGCAAGUCGAGCGGAGUUGAUCGACGGAAGCCUUCGGGCGGAAGAUGAUUAACUUAGCGGCGGAUGGGUGAGUAACGCGUGGGCAACCUGCCUCGAAGACCGGGAUAACAGUUCGAAAGGGCUGCUAAUACCGGAUGUGGUCAAGUGUCAGCAUGGGCAUUUGAUUAAAGGGGAAACCCGUUUCGAGAUGGGCCCGCGUCCUAUCAGCUAGUUGGUGAGGUAAAGGCUCACCAAGGCAAUGACGGGUAGCCGGCCUGAGAGGGUGACCAGCCACACUGGAACUGAGACACGGUCCAGACUCCUACGGGGGGCAGCAGUGGGGAAUCUUCCACAAUGGGCGAAAGCCUGAUGGAGCGACGCCGCGUGAGCGAAGAAGGCCUUCGGGUUGUAAAGCUCUGUCUGGAGGGACGAAGAAAGUGACGGUACCUCCGGAGGAAGCCACGGCUAACUACGUGCCAGCAGCCGCGGUAACACGUAGGAGGCAAACGUUAUCCGGAUUCACUGGGCGUAAAGCGCGUGCAGGUGGUUUCGUAAGUAGGGCGUGAAAGCUCCCGGCUCAACUGGGAGAGGCCGUACUAAACUGCGGAGCUAGAGGAUGGUAGAGGGAGGUGGAAUUCCAGGUGUAGUGGUGAAAUGCGCAGAUAUCUGGAGGAACACCAGUGGCGAAGGCGGCCUCCUGGACCAUACCUGACACUCAGACGCGAAAGCUAGGGUAGCAAACGGAAUUAGAGACUCCGGUAGUCCUAGCCCUAAACGAUGCAGACUAGGCGUCGGCGGUUUAAUCACCGUCGGUGUCCAAGCUAACGCGAUAAGUCUGCCGCCUGAGGACUACGGCCGCAAGGCUAAAACUCAAAGGAAUUGACGGGUCCCCGCACAAGCAGCGGAGCGUGUGGUUUAAUUCGAUGCUCCGCGAAGAACCUUACCUGGGUUUGACAUAACAGUGGUAGAGAAACGAAAGUGGACCGACCCUUCGGGGAGCUGUUACAGGUGUUGCAUGGCUGUCGUCAGCUCGUGUCGUGAGAUGUUCGGUUAAGUCCGCUAACGAGCGCAACCCGCGCUGUGUGUUACAAGUGUCACACAGUACCGCCGGUAUUAAGUCGGAGGAAGGUGCGGAUGACGUCAAGUCAGCAUGACCUUUAUAUCCAGGGCUACACACACGCUACAAUGGUCGGUACAACGAGUUGCGAACCCGCGAGGGUAAGCUAAUCUCUUAAAGCCGAUCUCAGUUCGGAUUGUAGGCUGCAACUCGCCUACAUGAAGCCGGAAUCGCUAGUAACCGCGGAUCAGCACGCCGCGGUGAAUACGUUCCCGGGCCUUGUACACACCGCCCGUCACACCAUGAGAGUUUGUAACACCCGAAGUCGGUGGGGUAACCCUUUUAGGGAACUAGCCGCCUAAGGUGGGACAGAUGAUUGGGGUGAAGUCGUAACAAGGUA